This is a non-coding RNA of Picea glauca (white spruce), 123 nucleotides long. The record is from Rfam. Lineage: Eukaryota; Viridiplantae; Streptophyta; Pinopsida; Pinales; Pinaceae.
AUGUACAUGCCUACAACAUAACAUUAAUACACCAGAUCCCAUUAGAACUCUGCAGUUAAGCGCGGUUAGGCUAGAGUAGUACUGGGAUGGGUGACCAUUUGGGAAGCCAUAGUAUUGUACAUG